CCAUCUGGAUGUAUACCUGCAGGUCACAGGGGAUAUGAUGGCUUAGCUUGGGCUCAGAGGCUGGACAGGUUUAUUCAAAAUUAUGAGGGAUUCAUUUAAUAUCUGAAUUGUUCAAGAUAAUGAUUGGUGUGACAAUGAGUGACCAAAUUUCUCAAAGUAAGAUGAAUUUUCCUGCAAGGAUGAAAGCUUGGAAUAUGGCUUCUGACCAAAUACUGUGUCUAGAAUUGGUGGGUUCUUGGUCUCCCUGACUUAAAGAAUGAAGCCGCAGACCCUCACAGUAUUACAGUUCUUAAAGAUGGUGUGUCCCGAGUCUGUUCCUUCAGAUGUUCAGAUGUAUCCACAGUUUCUUCUUUCUGGUGGGUUCGUGGUCUUGCUGACUUCAGGAGUGAAGCUGCAGACCUUCGUGUUUCACUUGUUGAUGCCCCUCACAGCAACUGCCACAUUGUAAAUAUGGAAUCUGAUGUAUGUUUGACUUCAGUCAAAAAUGU
This is a long non-coding RNA of Homo sapiens (human), 488 nucleotides long. Lineage: Eukaryota; Metazoa; Chordata; Mammalia; Primates; Hominidae. The record is from Ensembl.